UCAGUUUCUUGAUUUAGUUAU
This 21-nucleotide non-coding RNA is filed under the name Arabidopsis thaliana (thale cress). The record is from RNAcentral. Lineage: Eukaryota; Viridiplantae; Streptophyta; Magnoliopsida; Brassicales; Brassicaceae.